GCAGUAGCCACGGGAAUACGAAGGGUGCAAGCGUUAAUCGGAAUUACUGGGCGUAAAGCGUGCGUAGGCGGUUUGUUAAGUCUGCUGUGAAAUUCCCGGGCUCAACCUGGGAAUGGCAGUGGAUACUGGCAAGCUAGAGUGUGUCAGAGGAUGGUGGAAUUCCCGGUGUAGCGGUGAAAUGCGUAGAGAUCGGGAGGAACAUCAGUGGCGAAGGCGGCCAUCUGGACCGACACUGACGCUGAGGCGCGAAAGCGUGGGGAGCAAACAGGAUUAGAUACCCCCGUAGUCCCUGUCUCUUAUAC
RNAcentral lists this ribosomal RNA (302 nucleotides) under uncultured bacterium. RNAcentral describes it as "partial 16S ribosomal RNA". It matches the Rfam family "Bacterial small subunit ribosomal RNA", at positions 508 to 807 of the family's 1533-position model. The record is from RNAcentral.